RNAcentral lists this ribosomal RNA (468 nucleotides) under uncultured bacterium. RNAcentral describes it as "partial 16S ribosomal RNA". It matches the Rfam family "Bacterial small subunit ribosomal RNA", at positions 28 to 507 of the family's 1533-position model. The record is from RNAcentral.
GACGAACGCUGGCGGCGUGCUUAACACAUGCAAGUCGAACGGAAAGGCCCUGCUUUUGUGGGGUGCUCGAGUGGCGAACGGGUGAGUAACACGUGAGUAACCUGCCCUUGACUUUGGGAUAACUUCAGGAAACUGGGGCUAAUACCGGAUAGGAGCUCCUGCUGCAUGGUGGGGGUUGGAAAGUUUCGGCGGUUGGGGAUGGACUCGCGGCUUAUCAGCUUAUUGGUGGGGUAGUGGCUUACCAAGGCUUUGACGGGUAGCCGGCCUGAGAGGGUGACCGGCCACAUUGGGACUGAGGUACGGCCCAGAGUGCUACGGGCGGCAGCAGUGGGGAAUAUUGCGCAAUGGGCGGAAGCCUGAUGCAGCAACGCCGCGUGCGGGAUGACGGCCUUCGGGUUGUAAACAGUUUUGGCCUGUGACGAAGCGUGAGUGACGGUAAUGGGUAAAGAAGCACCGGCUAACUACGUG